RNAcentral lists this ribosomal RNA (382 nucleotides) under uncultured eukaryote. RNAcentral's name for it is "partial 18S ribosomal RNA". It matches the Rfam family "Eukaryotic small subunit ribosomal RNA", at positions 592 to 976 of the family's 1831-position model. The record is from RNAcentral.
CAAUAGCGUAUAUUAAAGUUGUUGCAGUUAAAAAGCUCGUAGUUGGAUUUCUGGUUGAAGCGACCGGUCGGGCGUUGAUUCGUCUGCACUGGAGUCGGUUUUGGCCAUCCUCUAGGAAAGUGCGUCUGGUAUUAAGUUAUCGGGCGUAUGAUCCUGGUCUUUUACUGUGAAAAAAUUAGAGUGUUUAAAGCAGGCCUUCGCCUUGAAUACAUUAGCAUGGAAUAGUAAGAUAGGACUUUGGUCUAUUUUGUUGGUUUGCAGACCGAAGUAAUGAUUAAUAGGGAUAGUUGGGGGUAUUUAUAUUCCGAUGUCAGAGGUGAAAUUCUUAGAUUUUCGGAAGAUAAACUUAUGCGAAAGCAUUUACCAAGGAUGUUUUCAUUAA